GGUGAACGCUGGCGGCGUGCCUAAUACAUGCGAGUCGAGCGAACAGACGAGGAGCUUGCUCCUCUGACGUUAGCGGCGGACGGGUGAGUAACACGUGGAUAACCUACCUAUAAGACUGGGAUAACUUCGGGAAACCGGAGCUAAUACCGGAUAAUAUAUUGAACCGCAUGGUUCAAUAGUGAAAGACGGUUUUGCUGUCACUUAUAGAUGGAUCCGCGCCGCAUUAGCUAGUUGGUAAGGUAACGGCUUACCAAGGCGACGAUGCGUAGCCGACCUGAGAGGGUGAUCGGCCACACUGGAACUGAGACACGGUCCAGACUCCUACGGGAGGCAGCAGUAGGGAAUCUUCCGCAAUGGGCGAAAGCCUGACGGAGCAACGCCGCGUGAGUGAUGAAGGUCUUCGGAUCGUAAAACUCUGUUAUUAGGGAAGAACAAAUGUGUAAGUAACUAUGCACGUCUUGACGGUACCUAAUCAGAAAGCCACGGCUAACUACGUG
This 497-nucleotide ribosomal RNA is filed under the name uncultured bacterium. Its description in RNAcentral is "partial 16S ribosomal RNA". It matches the Rfam family "Bacterial small subunit ribosomal RNA", at positions 28 to 507 of the family's 1533-position model. The record is from RNAcentral.